CCAGACUCCUACGGGAGGCAGCAGUGGGGAAUCUUCCGCAAUGGGCGAAAGCCUGACGGAGCAACGCCGCGUGAUCGAAUGAAGGCCUUCGGGUUGUAAAGAUCUGUUGACAGGGACGAAUAAGCAAUGCGAAUAGUUUUGUGUAUGACGGUACCUGUUUAGAAAGCUCCGGCUAACUACGUGCCAGCAGCCGCGGUAAUACGUAGGGAGCAAGCGUUGUCCGGAAUUACUGGGCGUAAAGGGCGCGUAGGUGGGCGCUUAAGUCAGGUGUGAAAACUCCGGGCUCAACCUGGAGACUGCACUUGAAACUGUAGGUCUUGAGUAUCGGAGAGGCAGGCGGAAUUCCUAGUGUAGCGGUGAAAUGCGUAGAUAUUAGGAGGAACACCAGUGGCGAAGGCGGCUUACUGGACCAUAACUGACGUUGAGGCUCGAAAGCGUGGGGAGCGAACAGGAUUAGAUACCCCAGUAAA
Molecule: ribosomal RNA, 470 nt
Filed under: uncultured bacterium
Lineage: Bacteria
Description: bacterial SSU rRNA
Rfam family: Bacterial small subunit ribosomal RNA
Source: RNAcentral